RNAcentral lists this ribosomal RNA (497 nucleotides) under uncultured bacterium. Its description in RNAcentral is "partial 16S ribosomal RNA". It matches the Rfam family "Bacterial small subunit ribosomal RNA", at positions 28 to 507 of the family's 1533-position model. The record is from RNAcentral.
GAUGAACGCUGGCGGCGUGCCUAAUACAUGCAAGUCGAGCGAACAGAUGAGGAGCUUGCUCCUCUGACGUUAGCGGCGGACGGGUGAGUAACACGUGGAUAACCUACCUAUAAGACUGGGAUAACUUCGGGAAACCGGAGCUAAUACCGGAUAAUAUAUUGAACCGCAUGGUUCAAUAGUGAAAGACGGUUUUGCUGUCACUUAUAGAUGGAUCCGCGCGGCAUUAGCUAGUUGGUAAGGUAACGGCUUACCAAGGCGACAAUGAGUAGCCGACCUGCGAGGGUGAGCGGCCACACUGGAACUGAGACACGGUCCAGACUCCUACGGGAGGUCGCAGUAGGGAAUCUGCCGCAAGGGGCGAAAGCCUGACGGAGCAACGCCGCGUGAGUGAUGAAGGUCUUCGGAUCGUAAAACUCUGUUAUGAGGGAAGAACAAAUGUGUAAGUACCUAUGCACGUCUUGACGGUACCUAAUCAGAAAGCCACGGCUAACUACGUG